Long non-coding RNA from Solea senegalensis (Senegalese sole), 822 nucleotides. RefSeq lists it as uncharacterized. The transcript has 2 exons. The record is from RefSeq and is a predicted model, not a curated record. NCBI's taxonomy places the organism in Eukaryota, Metazoa, Chordata, Actinopteri, Pleuronectiformes, Soleidae.
ACGAACGACGCCACGCCGCCCGAUAUCCCCGUCUGAUCGUCGGGGGACUUGAUGAAGCUGGGCGUGCCUGUGAGGGGAGAGGCAGCGAGACAAAAGGAGCAGGGAGAGGAUCUAACGGUGAGCGUCAGCCGAUUCCACUUUUACGAGUCAUCAACGGAAAACGCUUGACGAACUCUGGUCAGCAGAUCUUAAAGAUGCGGAGGUGGAAUUGGAGAUGAGGAACUCUGAGACCGGGUAUAAUGUGGAGGCAGUUCAUGCCGUUCCAAACAAAUAAAAGAGAACGCUGAAAUACUGAAAUGCUAAUGCGGGUGCAGAGAGUCAAGCCUUCAGCCCAGAUGAGUUUUCUCUUUUUCUUUCUUUUAUACCAGUGAGGAGCCUCACAUUUGAGAUUUGGUGCCACAUUCCACAUGUUAAUAAUAUUUAAUGUGUUUAAUUAAAGAUGUAUUCAUUUUCUGUAGAGGCCGACCUUGGUCCACGGUUGCCACGGACAUCUCGUCGCCCGGGAAAAGACUAUUUUGAACGACGACGGAGUUAAAACUCACUUUAAAAGUGAGAUCGGUCUUGUGUUGGCUAAUCCUAAUUUUACAGUGAUUAUUGCUCUCGUUUUAGUGCCACUUACCUGUGUUUUGCACUUUUAUUCCACGUCUUUGUUUUAUAGUGUUUUAUCCUAAUGUAGUUUUUAUUGAACAGGACUUUUGCAGAAUUACAACUUCCAUAUUGUGCUGACAUUUUUCUCCUUUUGUGAAGAGAACCUCCUGUGUUUGCACAGUAGUUUCAUACGUGAUUAUGUAUUUAUUGUUAUUAAUGAAAUAUUUGCUUAAG